Gymnodraco acuticeps is the source of this 441-nucleotide long non-coding RNA. RefSeq lists it as uncharacterized. The transcript is spliced from 2 exons. The record is from RefSeq and is a predicted model, not a curated record. NCBI's taxonomy places the organism in Eukaryota, Metazoa, Chordata, Actinopteri, Perciformes, Bathydraconidae.
AACAAGAUGGCAAAUUAGAGGUGAUCACAGCGGUCAUAUUACACAGUUGUUUUGUGAGCAGUAGGGGAGGAAUGUGACGCAGAGUGAGGAAGGUUCGUGAACGAGAGGGACUGGAGGCUUUGAUCAGAUGGAGGGGGAUGGUUUCCAGGAAGCAGAUAGAAGACAAAAAAAUGUGUCAAAUGUUGUGACUUGUAACUUUUAUUCUGUGGGCAUAAGGCCAGAGCAGUGAGUGAGUCCCGAACUGCAACAAAGUCAUAACAUCACACACUUUCUGUAGUAGAAAGUCAUAUUUUAUUACAAUCUUGUUUCCACUAAAAAGAAAACAAUCUGUUAGUUAUGACAAUGCAAAUCAAUGUGGCAGGUCCUGUCUUAUCCUUCAAACAAUAUUGUUUAUAUAUUUCACAAUAUCACGUUUAAAGAAAUGUCAGUAAACAAAUAAAG